Molecule: long non-coding RNA, 234 nt
Organism: Mauremys reevesii (Reeves's turtle)
Lineage: Eukaryota; Metazoa; Chordata; Testudines; Geoemydidae
Exons: 3
Source: RefSeq, a predicted model, not a curated record
GGAGCAAGAGGCACUUAGGAGCUGAGAGAGUGAAGACAUAUUGAUGGAGGACUGAGGAGUACAAGCGGUAUCAGACACCAGGAGACAGGUCCUGUGAGGCCAAACUCUCACCGAAAUCAAGACAAGUUUUGCCCAAAUGAAGAAUGGGUAAAAACAGAGUAAAAAGGCAUCAGGAUUUGGCUCUAGAUCGAGUUUAUGACAGGAUGUCACACACAAAACCUUCCUGAACCCCCC